UAGGGAAUCUUCCACAAUGGACGCAAGUCUGAUGGAGCAACGCCGCGUGAGUGAAGAAGGCUUCGGGUCUAAAACUCUGUUAUUGAAGAAGAACGUGUGUGACAGUAACUGGUCAUGCAGUGACGGUAUUCAAUCAGAAAGUCACGGCUAACUACGUGCCAGCAGCCGCGGUAAUACGUAGGUGGCAAGCGUUGUCCGGAUUUAUUGGGCGUAAAGCGAGUGCAGGCGGUCUUUUAAGUCUGAUGUGAAAGCCUUCGGCUUAACCGAAGAAGGGCAUCGGAAACUGGGAGACUUGAGUGCAGAAGAGGAGAGUGGAACUCAUGUGUAGCGGUGAAAUGCGUAGAU
RNAcentral lists this ribosomal RNA (345 nucleotides) under uncultured bacterium. Its description in RNAcentral is "partial 16S ribosomal RNA". It matches the Rfam family "Bacterial small subunit ribosomal RNA", at positions 355 to 695 of the family's 1533-position model. The record is from RNAcentral.